Small nuclear RNA from Malaya genurostris, 139 nucleotides. RefSeq annotates it as U4 spliceosomal RNA. The record is from RefSeq and is a predicted model, not a curated record. NCBI's taxonomy places the organism in Eukaryota, Metazoa, Arthropoda, Insecta, Diptera, Culicidae. The transcript has a single exon.
AGCUCUGCGCAGUGGCGAUAUCGUAACCAAUGAGGUUCAACCGAGCUGCGAUUAUUGCUAGUUGGAAAUUAUUGACAUCAGCUGUUACUGUUCAAUAUUCAUAACAGCCAGAGCCAUCUUUUGAAAAUGGACAGAACUA